This is a long non-coding RNA of Xenia sp. Carnegie-2017, 370 nucleotides long. RefSeq lists it as uncharacterized. NCBI's taxonomy places the organism in Eukaryota, Metazoa, Cnidaria, Anthozoa, Malacalcyonacea, Xeniidae. The transcript has 2 exons. The record is from RefSeq and is a predicted model, not a curated record.
AUACGGUAAGCAUCGUUUCAUUUUCAGCUGUAAAAUAUGAAUAUUCCAUUGAGAUAGUGAUCGCUUGUUUUAUUAAGUUAUUGAAUUUUCUCUUAUUAAAGUUGCUUGAUAUUGAUUUUGACAAUGGGUUUUUUUGUGAAUUAUGUGGAAGAAUUCCCCAAAAGGUGGUGAUGGAUGGAACAACUCUUGGAAUACAGAAAAAUUUCUUACCAAAUAAUUUAAGAGAGUCUGAUAAUGGAUUGCUAGAUGGAAGAUAAGUAUUUUUGAAGUUUAUCUGUAAUAUAUAGUAUAUACAGGUCUGCUAAUUAGUAAAUACGAGUGUUCAUCUACGUAUCAGAAAGCAUUUUAUGCAUGAUAGUGACUUCUCUCA